This 372-nucleotide ribosomal RNA is filed under the name uncultured organism. RNAcentral's name for it is "bacterial SSU rRNA". It matches the Rfam family "Bacterial small subunit ribosomal RNA", at positions 526 to 896 of the family's 1533-position model. The record is from RNAcentral.
CAGAGGGUGCAAACGUUGUUCGGAAUUACUGGGCGUAAAGCGAGUGUAGGCGGUCUCAUAAGUCGGGUGUGAAAGCCCUGGGCUCAACCCAGGAAGUGCACUCGAUACUGCGAGGCUAGAGUAUCGGAGAGGUUGGUGGAAUUCUCGGUGUAGAGGUGAAAUUCGUAGAUAUCGAGAGGAACACCGGUGGCGAAGGCGGCCAACUGGACGAAUACUGACGCUGAGACUCGAAAGCGUGGGGAGCAAACAGGAUUAGAUACCCUGGUAGUCCACGCCGUAAACGAUGGGUGCUAGGUGUCGCGGGCUUUGACUCCCGCGGUGCCGUAGCUAACGCAUUAAGCACCCCGCCUGGGAAGUACGGCCGCAAGGCUA